RNAcentral lists this ribosomal RNA (497 nucleotides) under uncultured bacterium. RNAcentral describes it as "partial 16S ribosomal RNA". It matches the Rfam family "Bacterial small subunit ribosomal RNA", at positions 28 to 507 of the family's 1533-position model. The record is from RNAcentral.
GAUGAACGCUGGCGGCGUGCCUAAUACAUGCAAGUCGAGCGGACGGACGAGACGCUUGCUUCUCUGUUGUUAGCGGCGCACGGGUGAGACACACGUGGAUACCCUCCCUAUCUGACUGGGAUAACUUCGGAAAUCCGGAGCUAAUACCGGAUGAUAUUUUGAACCGCAUGGUUCAAAAGAGAAAGACGGUCUUGCUGUCUCUACUCGCUGGUUCCGCGCUGCAUUAGCUAGUUGUGACGGUAACGGCUUACCACGGCAACCAUGCAUAGCCGACCUGAGAGGGUGAUCGGCCACACUGGAACUGAGACGCGCACCAUGCUCCUACGGGAGGCAGCAGUAGGGAAUCGUCGGCAAUGGGCGGAAGCCUGACGGAGCGACGGCACGUGAGUGAUGAAGGUCUUCGGAUCGUAAAACUCUGUUAUGAGGGAUGAACAUAUGUGUAAGUUAAUGUGCACAGCUUGACGGUAACGAAUCAGAAAGCCACGGCUAACUACGUG